CGGCGGACGGGUGAGUAAUGCCUAGGAAUCUGCCUGGUAGUGGGGGACAACGUUUCGAAAGGAACGCUAAUACCGCAUACGUUCUACGGGAGAAAGCAGGGGACCUUCGGGCCUUGCGAUAUCAGAUGAGCCUAGGUCGGAUUAGCUAGUUGGUGAGGUAAUGGCUCACCAAGGCGACGAUCCGUAACUGGUCUGAGAGGAUGAUCAGUCACACUGGAACUGAGACACGGUCCAGACUCCUACGGGAGGCAGCAGGG
RNAcentral lists this ribosomal RNA (257 nucleotides) under uncultured Pseudomonas sp. RNAcentral's name for it is "partial 16S ribosomal RNA". It matches the Rfam family "Bacterial small subunit ribosomal RNA", at positions 96 to 354 of the family's 1533-position model. The record is from RNAcentral. Lineage: Bacteria; Pseudomonadati; Pseudomonadota; Gammaproteobacteria; Pseudomonadales; Pseudomonadaceae.